This 506-nucleotide ribosomal RNA is filed under the name uncultured bacterium. RNAcentral describes it as "partial 16S ribosomal RNA". It matches the Rfam family "Bacterial small subunit ribosomal RNA", at positions 29 to 523 of the family's 1533-position model. The record is from RNAcentral.
AGUGAACGCUGGCGGUAGGCCUAACACAUGCAAGUCGAACGGCAGCACAGAGGAGCUUGCUCCUUAGGUGGCGAGUGGCGGACGGGUGAGGAAUACAUCGGAAUCUACUCUGUCGUGGGGGAUAACGUAGGGAAACUUACGCUAAUACCGCAUACGACCUACGGGUGAAAGCAGGGGACCUUCGGGCCUUGCGCGAUUGAAUGAGCCGAUGUCGGAUUAGCUAGUUGGCGGGGUAAAGGCCCACCAAGGCGACGAUCCGUAGCUGGUCUGAGAGGAUGAUCAGCCACACUGGAACUGAGACACAGUCCAGACUCCUACGGGAGGCAGCAGUGGGGAAUAUUGGACAAUGGGCGCAAGCCUGAUCCAGCCAUACCGCGUGGGUGAAGAAGGCCUUCGGGUUGUAAAGCCCUUUUGUUGGGAAAGAAAUCCAGCUGGCUAAUACCCGGUUGGGAUGACGGUACCCAAAGGAUAAGCACCGGCUAACUUCGUGCCAGCCGCCGCAGUAA